RNAcentral lists this ribosomal RNA (432 nucleotides) under uncultured bacterium. RNAcentral describes it as "bacterial SSU rRNA". It matches the Rfam family "Bacterial small subunit ribosomal RNA", at positions 959 to 1392 of the family's 1533-position model. The record is from RNAcentral.
ACGCGAAGAACUUACCUGGCCUUGACAUCCUAGGAAGCCUGCAGAGAUGCGGGUGUGCCUUCGGGAACCAUGAGACAGGUGCUGCAUGGCUGUCGUCAGCUCGUGUCGUGAGAUGUUGGGUUAAGUCCCGCAACGAGCGCAACCCUUGUCCUUAGUUGCCAUCAUUCAGUUGGGAACUCUAAGGAGACCGCCGGUGACAAACCGGAGGAAGGUGGGGAUGACGUCAAGUCAUCAUGGCCUUUAUGGCCAGGGCUACACACGUGCUACAAUGGCAGGUACAGAGGGAAGCCAACGCGCGAGCGGGAGCCAAUCCCAGAAAGCCUGUCGUAGUCCGGAUCGGAGUCUGCAACUCGACUCUGUGAAGUUGGAAUCGCUAGUAAUCGCAGAUCAGCAUUGCUGCGGUGAAUACGUUCCCGGGUCUUGUACACGCCG